RNAcentral lists this non-coding RNA (23 nucleotides) under Cricetulus griseus (Chinese hamster). Lineage: Eukaryota; Metazoa; Chordata; Mammalia; Rodentia; Cricetidae. The record is from RNAcentral.
UGGGAUGAACUAGGAAAGGCUCA